GCCAGGCGUGGUGGUGCGUGCCUGUAAUCCCAGCUACCCAGGAGGCUGAGGCAGGAGAAUUGCUUGAACCUGGGAGGCAGAGGCUGCAGUGAGCUGAGAUCACACCACUGCAUUCCAGCCUGGGUGACAGAGCAAGACUCUGUCUCAA
This 148-nucleotide non-coding RNA is filed under the name Pan troglodytes (chimpanzee). The record is from Rfam by way of RNAcentral. Lineage: Eukaryota; Metazoa; Chordata; Mammalia; Primates; Hominidae.